Molecule: ribosomal RNA, 290 nt
Filed under: uncultured bacterium
Lineage: Bacteria
Description: partial 16S ribosomal RNA
Rfam family: Bacterial small subunit ribosomal RNA
Source: RNAcentral
GUGGAUUAGAUACCCUAGUAGUCCUAGCCGUAAACGAUGUAGACUUGGCGUCGGCGGGUUUAAAUCCGUCGGUGUCGAAGCUAACGCGAUAAGUCUACCGCCUGGGGACUACGGCCGCAAGGUUAAAACUCAAAGGAAUUGACGGGGGCCCGCACAAGCAGCGGAGCGUGUGGUUUAAUUCGAUGUUACACGAAGAACCUUACCAGGGUUUGACAUGUAGGUAGUAGGGAUCUGAAAAGUGACCGACCCUUCGGGGAGCCUGCACAGGUGCUGCAUGGCUGUCGUCAACU